UCAGUUACAAUCUAGCAUCUGGGGCUUACACACGAGUAUUUGAUUACUCUCUCUCUCAAAACACAAAUGCCUCGGGAAGGUCUGAGAUUUGGUCAAAAGUUCAAAAAAUUGAUGAACUUUAAUUUUCUAGCAGGAAACUUGUACGAUAGAAAGGCAAAAGGACAAGAAAUUCUGUAUUAUCAAUUCAAUCUCUUUGAUAUUGAAUGAAAAUACAUUGAAAUCUUUUGUGACCAGCUGUUUCAGUGCAAUGUGCUUGCUGUCCGUCUUCCCCAUUUUUUGAUGGGGAAUUGGACAGAACUCAAUUCAGACUAAUCUGUGACUGA
Molecule: RNase P RNA, 323 nt
Filed under: Musca domestica (house fly)
Lineage: Eukaryota; Metazoa; Arthropoda; Insecta; Diptera; Muscidae
Description: Nuclear RNase P
Rfam family: Nuclear RNase P
About the family: Ribonuclease P (RNase P) is a ubiquitous endoribonuclease, found in archaea, bacteria and eukarya as well as chloroplasts and mitochondria.
Source: Rfam by way of RNAcentral